AAAAAAAGUGUUAAUUUCAUGGGAAAACUUCAGAAACCCCCCUGUAGUUUCGUAGUUUCUCAUUUUAGCCCCCUAUUAUUUAAAAUGUAUCAAAUUGUCCUUCUGUGGUUUCGUUUUUAUCUUUUCAGUAACUUUUUCGUUAAUAUUUCAUUAAAUUAUAUACAAUACCCAUCUAGAUUUAUCAAAUAUUUACUCUAGUUCCCUUUAAUUUUAACUUUAUAACUGAUUUAAGAAAAAAAAAUAAUAAAAUUGAUAACAAAAAAGAGAAAAAAGAAAUCACAGGGAGGCAAAUUGAUACAUUUUAAACCAUAGGGGGGCAAAGUGAGAAACUACGAAACCACAGGGAGAGUUUUUGAAGUUUUCCCUAAUUUCAUACAUGUAACUAUAAAUACAGUGAAUGACAGAUAUAUUUCUAUAAAGUUCAACUUUUAUAUAUUACUAGCAACUAACCCGUGCAAUGCACGGAUUUUAAAUUUAUCUUUUAAUUACAUUUUUUAUAUAAUAUAUAUUAAUUUUUACAUAUUAAGUUUUUCUAAUAUAUUUUUAUUACAAUUUUUAUAUAAUAUAUAUUAAUUUUUACAU
RNAcentral lists this long non-coding RNA (582 nucleotides) under Ananas comosus (pineapple). RNAcentral's name for it is "long non-coding RNA (ACOM_LNC017213)". Lineage: Eukaryota; Viridiplantae; Streptophyta; Magnoliopsida; Poales; Bromeliaceae. The record is from RNAcentral.